RNAcentral lists this unclassified non-coding RNA (344 nucleotides) under soil metagenome. Its description in RNAcentral is "partial contains 5.8S ribosomal RNA, internal transcribed spacer 2, and large subunit ribosomal RNA". The stretch from base 1 to 120 matches the Rfam family "5.8S ribosomal RNA", at positions 35 to 154 of the family's 154-position model. The record is from RNAcentral.
GAUGAAGAACGCAGCGAAAUGCGAUACGUAAUGUGAAUUGCAGAAUUCAGUGAAUCAUCGAGUCUUUGAACGCACAUUGCGCCCCCUGGUAUUCCGGGGGGCAUGCCUGUCCGAGCGUCAUUGCUGCCCUCAAGCACGGCUUGUGUGUUGGGCCUCCGUCCUCCUCCCGGGGGACGGGCCUGAAAGGCAGCGGCGGCACCGCGUCCGGUCCUCGAGCGUAUGGGGCUUCGUCACCCGCUCUUGUAGGCCCGGCCGGCGCUUGCCGACACAUCAAUCUUUUUUCCAGGUUGACCUCGGAUCAGGUAGGGAUACCCGCUGAACUUAAGCAUAUCAAUAAGCGGAGA